GUGCUCGCUUUGGCAGCACAGGUACUGGAAUUGGAACAAUACAGAGAAGAUUAGCAUGGCCCCUGUGCAAGGAUGACACGCCAAUUCGUGAAGCAUUCCAUAUUUUU
This is a small nuclear RNA of Otolemur garnettii (small-eared galago), 107 nucleotides long. Lineage: Eukaryota; Metazoa; Chordata; Mammalia; Primates; Galagidae. The record is from Ensembl.